GUCCACAUGGUGUAAUGGUAACACGCUUCGAUCGAGUAAAGGAGAAACCUCAUCUGAUUGAGGUGAUGUGGGUUCGAAUCCCACUGCGGACU
This is a non-coding RNA of Mycena leptocephala, 92 nucleotides long. The record is from the annotation of a GenBank genome assembly. NCBI's taxonomy places the organism in Eukaryota, Fungi, Basidiomycota, Agaricomycetes, Agaricales, Mycenaceae.